Homo sapiens (human) is the source of this 491-nucleotide long non-coding RNA. Ensembl annotates it as ribonuclease A family member 2C, pseudogene. Its record names the gene RNASE2CP. NCBI's taxonomy places the organism in Eukaryota, Metazoa, Chordata, Mammalia, Primates, Hominidae. The record is from Ensembl.
AGCUGCCCCUGAACCCCAGAACAACCAGCUGGAUCAAUUCUCAUAGGAGCCACAGCGCGGAGACUGUGAAACAUGGUUCCAAAACUGUUCACUUCCCAAAUUUGUCUGCUUCUUCUGUUGGGGCUUCUGGCUGUGGAGGGCUCACUCCAUGUCAAACCUCCACAGUUUACCUGGGCUCAGGGGUUUGACGUCCAUCAGUAGGAACCAGCUCCAAUGCACCAAUGCAAUGCGGUUGCAUGUGACAACAGGGAUCAACGACGGGACCCUCCACAGUAUCCAGUGGUUCCAGUUCACCUGGAUACCAUCAUCUAAGCUCCUGUAUCAGCACUCCUCGUCAUCACUCAUCUGCCAAGCUCCUCAAUCAUAGCCAAGAUCCCAUCCCUCCAUGUACUCUGGGUGUCAGCAUCUGUCCUCUUCAGUCUCUAUACCCCUUCCACUUGCCUGAGCUGAAGUGCCUUGUGAAGCCUGCAAUAAACUGCUUUGCAAAUUCA